This 490-nucleotide ribosomal RNA is filed under the name uncultured bacterium. RNAcentral describes it as "partial 16S ribosomal RNA". It matches the Rfam family "Bacterial small subunit ribosomal RNA", at positions 30 to 507 of the family's 1533-position model. The record is from RNAcentral.
AUUGAACGCUGGCGGCAGGCUUAACACAUGCAAGUCGAGCGGUAGCACAAGAGAGCUUGCUCUCUGGGUGACGAGCGGCGGACGGGUGAGUAAUGUCUGGGAAACUGCCUGAUGGAGGGGGAUAACUACUGGAAACGGUAGCUAAUACCGCAUAACGUCGCAAGACCAAAGAGGGGGACCUUCGGGCCUCUUGCCAUCAGAUGUGCCCAGAUGGGAUUAGCUAGUAGGUGGGGUAAUGGCUCACCUAGGCGACGAUCCCUAGCUGGUCUGAGAGGAUGACCAGCCACACUGGAACUGAGACACGGUCCAGACUCCUACGGGAGGCAGCAGUGGGGAAUAUUGCACAAUGGGCGCAAGCCUGAUGCAGCCAUGCCGCGGGUGUGAAGAAGGCCUUCGGGUUGUAAAGCACUGUCAGCGAGGAGGAAGGUGGUGAACUUAAUACGUUCAUCAAUUGACGUUACUCGCAGAAGAAGCACCGGCUAACUCCGUG